This 467-nucleotide ribosomal RNA is filed under the name uncultured bacterium. RNAcentral describes it as "partial 16S ribosomal RNA". It matches the Rfam family "Bacterial small subunit ribosomal RNA", at positions 28 to 506 of the family's 1533-position model. The record is from RNAcentral.
GACGAACGCUGGCGGCGUGCUUAACACAUGCAAGUCGAACGGAAAGGCCCUGCUUUUGUGGGGUGCUCGAGUGGCGAACGGGUGAGUAACACGUGAGUAACCUGCCCUUGACUUUGGGAUAACUUCAGGAAACUGGGGCUAAUACCGGAUAGGAGCUCCUGCUGCAUGGUGGGGGUUGGAAAGUUUCGGCGGUUGGGGAUGGACUCGCGGCUUAUCAGCCUGUUGGUGGGGUAGUGGCUUACCAAGGCUUUGACGGGUAGCCGGCCUGAGAGGGUGACCGGCCACAUUGGGACUGAGAUACGGCCCAGACUCCUACGGGAGGCAGCAGUGGGGAAUAUUGCACAAUGGGCGGAAGCCUGAUGCAGCAACGCCGCGUGCGGGAUGACGGCCUUCGGGUUGUAAACCGCUUUCGCCUGUGACGAAGCGUGAGUGACGGUAAUGGGGAAAGAAGCACCGGCUAACUACGU